Molecule: ribosomal RNA, 400 nt
Filed under: uncultured bacterium
Lineage: Bacteria
Description: bacterial SSU rRNA
Rfam family: Bacterial small subunit ribosomal RNA
Source: RNAcentral
GGGGAAUCUUGGACAAUGGGCGCAAGCCUGAUCCAGCCAUGCCGCGUGAGUGAAGAAGGUCUUCGGAUUGUAAAGCUCUUUUGCCAGGGACGAUAAUGACGGUACCUGGAGAAUAAGCCCCGGCAAACUUCGUGCCAGCAGCCGCGGUAAUACGAAGGGGGCUAGCGUUGUUCGGAAUUACUGGGCGUAAAGCGCACGUAGGCGGGUCGUUAAGUCAGGGGUGAAAUCCCGGAGCUCAACUCCGGAACUGCCUUUGAUACUGGCGAUCUCGAGAUCGGAAGAGGUGAGUGGAAUUCCCAGUGUAGAGGUGAAAUUCGUAGAUAUUGGGAAGAACACCAGUGGCGAAGGCGGCUCACUGGUCCGAUACUGACGCUGAGGUGCGAAAGCGUGGGGAGCAAAC